RNAcentral lists this long non-coding RNA (3525 nucleotides) under Malus domestica (apple). RNAcentral's name for it is "long non-coding RNA (MDOM_LNC006111)". The record is from RNAcentral. Lineage: Eukaryota; Viridiplantae; Streptophyta; Magnoliopsida; Rosales; Rosaceae.
UUAGAGUAAUAGAUUUUUGGGACUUUGCUCUGGAAAGGGGAAAAGCAUAUUCUUCUCUCUAACUUGGUUUCUAGAAUUUAGAGUAUUCAAUCAAAAUUUUAAGAUAAAUUUUUAAAAUGGAAUUUUAACAAAAAGAUUAUGAUACUGUUCACUUUAACGAAAAAUCAUAUUUUUACACUAAAAAAUCAAUCAUGAUACUAUUCACUUUACCCUUUAUUUUGUCCUUAUCGUUAAAACUCAAAGUUUUCAAGCCCUUUUCAUUAGUUUUCAUUUUUUUAAAUCCUUAAAAAUUCGGGUAUAUUUAAUUAGGAUUUCAAAAAAAUUUAUAACAUUCUAGAUGUAUUCAAUUAGGAUUUUAUUUUAAAGAAUUUUAAAAAGUUGAGGAAUUUGUCACUCAGUAUCACGGUCUGAUGUAUUCUUCUUCGCUUAGAAGUGAGAGGUCUUAUGUUCGAAUCUCGUGGAUGGCGAAUCCGAUAACAAAUUAGACUGCCCAUUGUGUGACUUAGCCGAACUCCUCCUUCCCCUAGUGUAAAAAUAUCGAUGUAUUAGGAAAAAAAAUUGAGGAAUUUGAGGAAAUUAGUGAGAUUUCGUAAUGCAAUUUAAGCAUUCACAAAUUUCACUUCUCUCGUUGAUAUUUUGAAGGAAUUGAAUCAAAAAAUUUCAUGAAAUCUCUACAAAUCAAUUAAUCCCCUUUAAACUACAUGGAUUUAUAAAUUCAUUAAAAUCUUUCAAAAUCUCAAUUGAAUACACCAUCUAAAACUCUUCAAUCUUUUGAUGUGAUUCCAGAUUAGUCUCAAUUUUUUUAAAUAUUCCGAAAGAGUAACUGACACACCCCGACCGAGAUCGAGGCAUACUGGCCAUCACGUGAGGGUGACGUAGCCAUGUGCACAGUGCAGAAGCAAUAAGGAUAAGAAAUAUACGAAUAAAUAAAAACCGAAAGCUACUAGUGUAUACUAAUAAGCAGAAAAUGCUAGAGUGAGAUACAAAAGUAAAUACUCCUAAUCAGAGCAUAGAAAGUCUAGGUGUAGUCUACUAGGACGAGUACUAGUUAUACAGUACCAGAAGAUGUCCUACUAAUUUUUAUUUUGUCAGAACCGCCGAGAUCCUCAAUGCCACCAACAGCAAGUCUACCUAAAACCUGGAGGGACGCAAAACAGAAAAUGUGAGUGGGCAAAAACAAAUGCUUUGAGAACACAUUUAACUUUCAAAAGCGCUAACCCCUCGCCGUAAAACAUGUAUACUUUUUCCUAGAAAUAAAAUAUUAACAUAUACAUAUAUAUAUAUAUAUAUAUUUAUUUAUAUCCAUUCAAAUCAUGUUACACAUAAUCAUAAGUAUGUCAUGCCAAGAUAGAAACAGGAUAAGUAACUCAGGUGAAAAUAAAUUCAUGGGAAAUAACACAUUAGCAGGAACCUGAUGUGAAAUUUAUCUUAACACACAAAUUUAACCCUCUUUUGACAAUUGUAGUACAAGUAUAAGUAAGAAUCGUUCUGAACCAGGGAUUAGGAGGGUUUGCUAAUAACGUCUAAACUGACUCAAAAACAUAAAACUAAACUUAAAAAUAUUUAACAAGACUCACAAGACUCAAAGCAAACUUAAAAUACUCAUAACAGCUUAAAACAACUAAAUAAACUUAAACUAGACACUAGGAAUGACUUUGGAUGAAAAUUGACUUUUACUUGAAUAAAAACAUUUAAAAACACAAAUUAAAACAGAUUAUAACUAAUUAGACACACUAAAGUAAAGGGGAAUUGAGUUUUGGACGAAGUUGAAACAAACAAACAAGUAUGAAAAACUAGACAGAUUGUAAAACAAAUUUGAGAAAUAAGAUGAUGGAUGGGAUAGCUAGAGAUUUUUUCUCCACACAUGAUAUGUAUGCAAACAACUCGAUUUCCAGGUACUACUUCAUUGAAUUAUGAAUGACAAUGCCCUAAAUUAACUGUGACAUCACUAGUUAACUCUCAGAUUUUCCUUGUUUUAUUGGAUUGGAUGACAUCAUUUGACAACCCAAAACAUUCUUCAAAAGUUCCCUACAUGACAUCAUAAUAGAGAUACUAUCAAUGAUCAUUAUGUUUAAUGAAAAUCAUAAGCAUUGACAAAGCACUUGCAACUAUGACAUCAUGUCACUCAUGCUAGGAAUUGAACUUAACGCGAUCGUUUAUAAGUAACCUUCACUACAUGUGAAUAUAAGUUUGUAACGAUUAUGUGAAACUUCCUUAUAUUCUAGCAACGGAUUUAUGCAUGCCAAUUAAGUGUCGACCCUUAAUUAACAAAUACAAAUAAGUUAUCAAUCAAAUAGUUAAGCCAAUUGCAUUCACGAUUCAAAAGUUCAUAACUGGAAUUUAUCAAAUUAUAUUGCACACAUAAUCAUGGCUUUGAAAUCACCCCUAACCAAGAGGGGUUUAGCCACUCAUAUUUACAACAAAACGAAAGGAAAUGAAUUUAAACAUUAGAAACAAAAGAAAGAAAACACCUAAACGCUCCAACGAUCCAAAGUUGGACAACAAGCACAUCCAAGCACUUUCCUUCCCUUCCUUUGCUACGGCACAAGGUGUUGGUGAGUGUUUGAAGGUUUGUUUGUAUGGAGGAAUUGAUGUGAAGAUGAAUGGAUGUGUUUGGAUGAAGGUUGUGUUGAAAUGGGAGUGAAUGCUCUAACCAAGUAUGAACUAAAUUUAUGUUACACACACUUCCUUUUAUAGAGGAAGUGCAUGGCAAUAGAGGGGAACAUGGAGUGGUGUAGCAAUUGAGUGCAAUGAUUCAAUGUAAUGAUGCAUGAAUCUGAAAUGAUGGAGGGAACAAGGAAUGGUGUAGCAAUUGAGUGCAAUGAUUCAAUGUAAUGAUGCAUAAAAUCUGAAAUGAUGGAGGGGACAAGGGCGAUUAUGCAUGGCAUGGGUGGAAAAGUAAGUAAGUGGUGAAUCAAUGAGUGCAAUGAGGUGAAAUGAUAUUGUGCACAUGGUAGACAAAGGAAAGGAAGUGGAAUGAUGCAACAAAUGAGUCAAUGGAGGGAACAUGGAUGAUGAUGCACGGCAUAGGAAUCCAAAGGGAGUGCAAUGGUGGUGCACGACAAUGAUGGAAAGGUGAAUGGUGGAGUGACACCCCUUUGUGGCUGAGAUCUUUGUCCUUUUUACAUUAAUUCUUUCUCUUUAGCACAUUCCUAGCCUCUUUAGUCUUCAAUUUCGUCCAUCCACCUUGCUCCAUGCAUGUGCUAUUCUUUCCAAGCCCAAAACUGCUCCAAAAUGCACCAAAAUGCAUCUUAUUGCUUUAUAAGGCCUAUGGACCUACAAACACACGAAAAUAGCUUAAAAUACAUAAUUAACUAAGAAAUAAGAACAUAAAUGCAUGAGAACAAGCUAACUCAGUCGCAUAAAUAUGCUCCUAUCAGAACCCCUCCAGAAAUCUGUACGGCUGAAUUCAUAGCUCAUUAGUCAAUCUAGCUGGAGUCACUACAAAUGACCUAUACGGCACUACAUUGCACACAAGUCGAAACCACUAAAAAGUCUGUACGACAAGACUGUGUGUAAUAUAAU